Molecule: unclassified non-coding RNA, 709 nt
Filed under: Aplysia californica (California sea hare)
Lineage: Eukaryota; Metazoa; Mollusca; Gastropoda; Aplysiida; Aplysiidae
Description: uncharacterized LOC101851965, transcript variant X1
Source: RNAcentral
AUUGCCUGUAAAGGCGAAGGGAGAAAAUAAGCGGCUAUUUAUUUUCUAUGAUUUUAAAGAUUUUUAUCUGGACUUAGAAACCUAAUUUAUUUGAAAAUUAUUUAUUUUUAGUGAAAGAGUGAACCUUUUAAGCUCAAAUUAGAUGAAAUUAACUCAUUAGCAAAAUUGUUUUGUCAAUGAAAACUUUAGUAUUGAUUCGGUGAAAACUGCUGGCUCAUAGGAAAUCGCACCGUAAGCGAAAUGACAACAAAUCCAGCCGCAGCGUAGUACGAACGAAAGAGGAACUGUCACAAAGGCUGACGGAUGCUGAUUCAGUUUCACAGUGCAACACUAUCUUUUACGUAGGCUAGUCUAUCGCCCAUGAGGGACCGCCCGUGAUCUAACCACGGUAUUUUGAUAUUCAGUGAAGACCCAAUAAAAAGGUAGAAAAAGUGACGACAGAUGCACAGGAACAAUUUCGAGAGUCCUACAACGCUUCAUAAGAAGACCUGUUCUCGAACUCAUUCUCCGCUCUUGCACACUGGCUGCCAUCAGCUUCCGGGAGCCUUUUGUGAUCACCGUUCAUCGCUUUUAUAAUUGUAGAUUUAAUAUUAAUUGUCUUUUAUCGUUGUCUCCAAAUAGAGGCUAGCCAGGUUGGCUUUUUAGCUACGUAAAAGGUCAUCAGAUUAUGAGCGCGGUUGUUAUGGACACACAAAUGUUGGAGGAAAAA